UGGGGGGGGGGGUUGUUUUUGUGCCUUAAUAAUUUAAAUUGUCAUUUGAAAACCAAAUUUAGUAUUGCCUUGGGAUGCCUCUGUUUGAUAUUAAAAUCGGUUUGUUGAACUGUAACUCGUGUGUGAUAAAUAUUCCAAGAACGCAGUCAACAGGACGGGGGCAAAUAUUUUCACACGGCACUGUAUAAAAGAAUAAAUUUGACUAAAGUGAUCAUCAAUUGGAAGAAGCUUCAACUGACAAGUCGACAACAGUCUGCUGUGGUGAACACGACAAUGAAGUGGUUGAUCUUGGCUUUCUGCGUCGCCGUGCUGGUCAUAGCUGGUGAAGCUGUGAAAUGCCAAUCCUGUAUACCAUGGUUGAUGCCAUAUUGUAUUCCUCAAACGGUCGAGUGCGCCCCCGGCCAAGUCUGCGGUAAAUCCCAAUGGGAUGGGUGCACAUCGCCGUGACAGUGACAGCGGACAAGCCCUCAACUUCAAGUGCUCCAGAAUGGACCACAGCGACCAUCCUUUUAUAAAAGUAUAAAAAAAAAAAAAAAAAAAGUAUCCCUGUAGUUUAGUUGGAAAGCAUUAAAAAAUGUCAUAAAAAAAUGGAGUUUUUUUUUUUCUUGCAUUCUGUGUGAUUGUGAAAUUCUUGUGUUGAAAGUAACCCGCUUUGGGUGCUUGCCAUGGAUACCCUGGACAAAACAAACAAACAAAAACCCUACUAUCCUGUUGGGCCAAUGGCUCAAGUGGCUUCUGAGCACGCAAAACCACAACAAAACAACAUUUUUAAUCAUGGGGGCAGCACUCAAUGCAGUCGACUGUACCGUGUGUGAAUGUGGCGCGUGGACACAACAAACACGCAUACCAUACCACCAGCUUCAACACCGUCCUCCUGGUGCCUCGCGCUCAGCAAAGCUUCUUUCAAAGUGUUCAUCUCCAUUUGGGGAAUGACAGAAACAUUUCUGUAUUCGUGUUGUUUUGGUUUUUUUGAACACCUGUUUGGAAUACUCCACAGGUGAAGAGGUUCAUUGGAAACGGGUGAGUGUCAUGACUGGGGAUAAAAGCAACAUCAGUGAAGGCUCGAGUUUCACAAGCAAGCAUGGGAUGGGAUUCACCGCUUUGUGAAGAGUUUUAGAAUGUUUCUCAACAGAAACCGCAAGAAAUUUAGGGAUCUUACUGGACCCUUGUUAGGAUAAAGAGAAUCCAAAAAAUGGAUGGAAUUAGAUCACAGUAUUGCGCAAUCAAUGAGUUGUGCAUCAUGUAAAAAACACAAGAUUAAAAAUGAUGGUCAUUUCACUUUUAAGUGCACCCUCAUCGUUGUUUGCCCUCUUUAGCUCAUGUUCCGUCUUAGAAGAGGUUUUUGGCUGCCGUUUUGGCAAGAACUGAUCCAAGUACGUUUACAUUUGUCGGCUUUUAACAUUCCUUCGAAAAUGUCUAAGGCAAACAUCGGCAGAGUGAGCGAUCGCCCGACUGCUGAACAUUUUUUCUGGGUGAUUCACAUUUACGUAAAAUGAUCGGAACGACUCACGGCCCAAGGGGCGAAUGACGAGUACUCUGCACAGACACAUCUCUAUUUAUCGAAACACAUAGACACAUACGGUAGAUCUCCCUCUGAGCCAAUGGGAUACCAGGAAGACGCUCGGUAAUAGCCAAUGGCAGAGCAGCUACAAGUAUGUUGCGUUCAUGAAACUCGAAGCUGCGAGGAGCAGACCCGACUGUAUUUUUACCUUUCUUGACAUUUCUUUUGUAACAAAAGGCAAUAUUUUCCUCUUGAGGCGUUUUGUAACUUGACAAUUUCAUAUGAAGAGACGUUGGUAAGUAGAGGUACCGCUGUACUGGGGAAGAACUAACAGUCUGCGCAGAACCCCCGAAGUCCCAGGACUAAAAUCCCCUCACUGAACCGCGAGUGUUUACGUAUGUUGCAAAUGUUGGCUUUUCGUCAGUGUUCCGAGAAGGCUGUGUGGUAUAUGGUUUUUGCUGCUUCCCUGGUCUUCAAAAAACACUCGGUGAUCGGUGGCUGUUUCCCGACGAAUGAGCACUUCAGGGACCACGGCUGAUUGGGAAAAGAUUUUAUUCUACCAAUGUCAGAGUGAAGUCUUUCCAAAAAGUUGAGUGGCCCAAGGCAUGGAUGUAAAAAAGCCCCCCUACCCCUGUCAGGCCUGUAUCUUUUAUACCUGGCAAGGAGCUGAUGUCAUGGCUUUGUGCACCAGCUGCGGUUUUCAAUCUACUAGUUUACUUCAGUCCUAAAAAGGAGAUCUUGACCAGCGCUGUUGGUGAUGGACGACAACAGCCACUUUACCUUAUUAUAGGAUUGCACACAUUGCUGAAACUGAAUUCUCCCUGACCAGCAAAUAUAGAAUAGAAUCGUGUCACUGACGCCAGGUGGACAUUCAAAGGCCACCUACAGGAAUAGAG
Hippocampus zosterae (dwarf seahorse) is the source of this 2397-nucleotide long non-coding RNA. RefSeq lists it as uncharacterized. The transcript is spliced from 3 exons. NCBI's taxonomy places the organism in Eukaryota, Metazoa, Chordata, Actinopteri, Syngnathiformes, Syngnathidae. The record is from RefSeq and is a predicted model, not a curated record.